GGGGCUGUCACGGUAUUGACAGCAUAGGUCUUUGAAAGUGUAAGCAUGCAGUGCGUUGUGUAAUCAGCACUUAAAUCUGGAAUGCACAAACUAUAAAUGGCAAUACUAAGUAUGCCAUGGCUGCCUAAUCAGUGAUUACGUAGUCAUUAUGGCCGGGUAGCAGGCAGGCUUGUAGCCAGUUGCCCCGCCCAAUCAAAAACAAUACGAGCUGCUGUUGCGGAAGGCUGUGACUGUAACUUAAGACCAUGCAGCUAAGAAUUCAAUCGGUUGUCUGUUUCCAGUUGGGUUUCUGAUCCUGAUUCUAUCGGGAAAUAAAACAGGAUAAGCAUGUAGAAAGCUUUUGAAGGAUAUGUUUGGACAGGGGUUCGACUCCCCUCAGCUCCACUU
Molecule: transfer-messenger RNA, 387 nt
Filed under: Bacteroidia bacterium
Lineage: Bacteria; Pseudomonadati; Bacteroidota; Bacteroidia
Rfam family: transfer-messenger RNA
About the family: Bacterial tmRNA, also known as 10Sa RNA or SsrA, is named for its dual tRNA and mRNA-like properties. Its role is to liberate the mRNA from a stalled ribosome.
Source: RNAcentral